This 1191-nucleotide long non-coding RNA is filed under the name Mytilus galloprovincialis (Mediterranean mussel). The record is from RNAcentral. Lineage: Eukaryota; Metazoa; Mollusca; Bivalvia; Mytilida; Mytilidae.
UUCUGAGUUAAAUAGUAUCCAAAAAGUUCACCAAAACAAAAAACUGGAUUUUUUCACAUUUGUUCCGUUUCCAUGGUAACGGCAGCCAUCUUGAAAGUGCCACCCCCAAAAAGCAAAUCUUCAUUUGGUGGUUAACAAAAUGGGAUAGUUCCAUCUUCUUGUGGCCAUUCAUAUGAGAGUUCCAGACUGGACAAAAAUGUGUGGAAGAAAAAUAAUAAAAAAAACAAAAAGAAACGUAGAAUAACAAUAUGUCACCCAAACUCCGUUUAGGGUGCCAUAAUAACUAGAUUUGUAAUUGCUAGCAAUAACGGAUGGCACCCUUCCCCCAUUGCCAGGUGAGCGGCAGCCAUUUUGAAAAUUCCAAAGUCAAAGAGCACUUUUACAAAUGUUUAUUAACAUUGUUGAAAAAUUUCAUGUCGUUUGGAGCAUUUUGAAAUUUUUGAAAAUUUUUGCUGUUUCCAUGGUAACAGUUACCAUUUCCAAAAUUCCAAAGACAGGUGCCACAUUGGUACAUGCCAUGUUACAUAUCUAUUAAGUUUCAUUGGGAUUGAUGCUAUAUUCUUCAAGAAAAUGUAAGUUUUAUGUGUUUUCCCAUAGGGUCAAUGUUAAACUUUCGCCCUGUUUCCAUGACAAUGGCGGCCAUUUUGGAACCUCUUGAUAUUGCAUGCACAUCUAGGCAUAUCAGGUGACACUUCCACAAAGUUUCAUCCACUUGGGUCUUAUAAUGAAGAAUUUAGAAUUUUGAAAAUUUUUUCACAUUUUUGCAGUUUCCAUGGAAACGGCAGCCAUCUUGAACCAUUCCAUGGUGCCUGCAACUCUUCACCUAAGGGUCCUCAAUAUAAUAGAGUUCCAUCAACUUUGGUCCUUUGGAUUUCGAGAAAUCUCCUGGACAAAAUGUGUGGAAGAAAAAUAAAAAUAAACUAGAAUUGCCAUUGCAAGCAAUAGCGGAUGUCACCCUUCCCCCCAUUGCCACUAAGCGGCAGCCAUUUCAAAAUGUUUAACAGUGAAUGCACAUAUAUGCAUGGCAAUACAUCUUUCUGUAAAUUUUCAGUACAUUGAGAGCAUUUCUAAAAAAAUUUCACACAAUUCUGCUGUUUCCAUGGCAACGGCAGCCAUUUUGAAAAUUUCAAAGUCAAAAGUCUCAUCUGUACUUGCCAGUUAACAAUAAUAUCAAGUUUCAUUAAGUUCAAA